AACGAACGCUGGCGGCAUGCCUAACACAUGCAAGUCGAACGAGACCUUCGGGUCUAGUGGCGCACGGGUGCGUAACGCGUGGGAACCUGCCCUUAGGUUCGGAAUAACUCCCCGAAAGGGGUGCUAAUACCGGAUAAUGUCUUCGGACCAAAGAUUUAUCGCCUUUGGAUGGGCCUGCGUUGGAUUAGCUAGUUGGUAGGGUAAAAGCCUACCAAGGCGACGAUCCAUAGCUGGUCGGAGAGGAUGAUCAGCCACAGUGGGACUGAGACACGGCCCAGACUCCGACGGGAGGCAGCAGUGGAGAAUAGUGGACGAGGGGAGAAAUCCUGAACCAGCAAUGCCGCGUGAGUGAUGAAGGCCGUAGGGUUGUAAAGCUCUUUUACCCGGGAUGAUAAUGACAGUACCGGGAGAAUAAGCGCCGGCUAACUCCGUG
RNAcentral lists this ribosomal RNA (433 nucleotides) under uncultured bacterium. Its description in RNAcentral is "partial 16S ribosomal RNA". It matches the Rfam family "Bacterial small subunit ribosomal RNA", at positions 29 to 507 of the family's 1533-position model. The record is from RNAcentral.